AGAGUUUGAUCCUGGCUCAGAUUGAACGCUAGCGGGAUGCCUUACACAUGCAAGUCGAACGGCAGCGCGGACUUCGGUCUGGCGGCGAGUGGCGAACGGGUGAGUAAUGUAUCGGAACGUGCCCAGUAGCGGGGGAUAACUACUCGAAAGAGUAGCUAAUACCGCAUACGCCCUACGGGGGAAAGGGGGGGAUCGCAAGACCUCUCACUAUUGGAGCGGCCGAUAUCGGAUUAGCUAGUUGGUGAGGUAAAGGCUCACCAAGGCGACGAUCCGUAGCUGGUUUGAGAGGACGACCAGCCACACUGGGACUGAGACACGGCCCAGACUCCUACGGGAGGCAGC
Molecule: ribosomal RNA, 342 nt
Filed under: uncultured bacterium
Lineage: Bacteria
Description: bacterial SSU rRNA
Rfam family: Bacterial small subunit ribosomal RNA
Source: RNAcentral